AUGCUCGCUUUGGCAGCACUUGUAGUAAAAUUGAAACGAUUUUGGGAGAUGAUUAGCAUGGUCCCUGUGCAAGGGUGAUGUGCAAAUCAUGAAGCAUUCCAUAUUUAA
RNAcentral lists this small nuclear RNA (108 nucleotides) under Salvator merianae (Argentine black and white tegu). The record is from RNAcentral. Lineage: Eukaryota; Metazoa; Chordata; Lepidosauria; Squamata; Teiidae.